CUGGAAGAGGAAGUCCAAAAAUGGAAUAUGUACCACAAAUUAUGAUGAUAAUAAUUUACAAGAUCAUAAAACAUUUAUUUAAAUGCUAAAUUGUAUACAGUUAGUAAUUAACAUUUUUACCAUUCACAAUAAUUUACAUAUUAUUUAUAUUCAAAUAUAUUAUACCUCAUGUUUUCAAUCCAUGAACAAUCUGUAACGCACUCGAACAUUGCAU
This is a non-coding RNA of Cinara cedri, 214 nucleotides long. Lineage: Eukaryota; Metazoa; Arthropoda; Insecta; Hemiptera; Aphididae. The record is from the annotation of a GenBank genome assembly.